GAAAUGCGAUAAGUAAUGUGAAUUGCAGAAUUCAGUGAAUCAUCGAAUCUUUGAACGCACCUUGCGCUCCUUGGUAUUCCUUGGAGCAUGCCUGUUUGAGUAUCAUGAAAUCUUCAAAGUAAAUCUUUUGUUAACUCAAUUGGUUUCUACUUUGGUAUUGGAGGUCUUUGCAGCUUCACACCUGCUCCUCUUUGUUCAUUAGCUGGAUCUCAGUGUUAUGCUUGGUUCCACUCGGCGUGAUAAGUUAUCUAUCGCUGAGGACACUGUAAAAGGUGGCCAAGGUAAAUGCAGAUGAACCGCUUCUAAUAGUCCAUUGACUUGGACAAUACUUUUAUGAUCUGAUCUCAAAUCAGGUAGGACUACCCGCUGAACUAAAGC
RNAcentral lists this unclassified non-coding RNA (378 nucleotides) under plant metagenome. RNAcentral's name for it is "partial contains 5.8S ribosomal RNA, internal transcribed spacer 2, and large subunit ribosomal RNA". The stretch from base 1 to 105 matches the Rfam family "5.8S ribosomal RNA", at positions 50 to 154 of the family's 154-position model. The record is from RNAcentral.